AGGCAUACCCUUGUGGACGGCGCCAUUUACCUUGACAUCGACAUAAUCACCGAUCUUGUAGGUCCUGAGAUAGACAGUCAAGGGAAUGUAUCCCUUCUUCCUGAAGGGUCUUGAGAACAAAUCGCGAGUUCGCGAACGAAGACCAUGACCGGCUGGCAUUUUCGCUCUCCUUCCGGCUCUCUGUGUGCCGGUGGCUCCAAAG
This 202-nucleotide unclassified non-coding RNA is filed under the name Hevea brasiliensis (rubber tree). The record is from RNAcentral. Lineage: Eukaryota; Viridiplantae; Streptophyta; Magnoliopsida; Malpighiales; Euphorbiaceae.